UACGUAGGGGGCAAGCGUUGUCCGGAAUUACUGGGCGUAAAGGGCGCGUAGGCGGCUCGCUAAGUCGGGUGUGAAAACUCUGGGCUCAACCCAGAGCCUGCAUUCGAAACUGACGAGCUAGAGUUCUGGAGGGGAAAGCGGAAUUCCUGGUGUAGCGGUGAAAUGCGUAGAUAUCAGGAGGAACACCGGUGGCGAAGGCGGCUUUCUGGACAGAAACUGACGCUGAGGCGCGAAAGCUAGGGGAGCAAACAGG
This 253-nucleotide ribosomal RNA is filed under the name uncultured bacterium. RNAcentral's name for it is "partial 16S ribosomal RNA". It matches the Rfam family "Bacterial small subunit ribosomal RNA", at positions 524 to 776 of the family's 1533-position model. The record is from RNAcentral.